AGGGAAUAGGUUUCCAUUCGGGACAUGAAAAUUGACUGCGGCUACACAGACAAAGAAGCAGAAGCAGAAGAGGUCCGUUAUAGAAAUAGAUUUAAAGGCAUGUCAUUCAGCUCAGUUCAGCUGUAAAGGUUUGGAGCAGAAAGAAGCAGAAGAGGUCCGUUAUAGAAAUAGAUUUGAAGGCAUGUCAUUCAGCUCAGUUCAGCUGUAAAGGUUUGGAGCAGAAAGAAGCAGAAGAGGUCCCUUAUAGAAAUAGAUUUGAAGGCAUGUCAUUCAGCUCAGUUCAGCUGUAAAGGUUUGGAGCAGAAAG
This is a long non-coding RNA of Oncorhynchus tshawytscha (Chinook salmon), 307 nucleotides long. RefSeq lists it as uncharacterized. The record is from RefSeq and is a predicted model, not a curated record. The transcript has 2 exons. Lineage: Eukaryota; Metazoa; Chordata; Actinopteri; Salmoniformes; Salmonidae.